AUGUCCAUAACAGUGCAUGAGAAACUGUUCUAAGUACUGGAAUUUUACUAGGGAGUCAGCAGUUCUGCUAAUCCUCAUGGAGCUUAGAAUUAGGAAGGCAGACAAUAAAAUGUAAUAAGUUCCUUAAUAGAAUACAAGUAGAUUACAAAGGGAAAGAGAAAAGAAGCUCAGAAGGAAUUCCAAUAUUCAGAUGUGACAUAUAGAAGAAAGUGUCGACAUGAAAGAAUUAUCCGCCAGAGAAUUCAGAGGAAAAUCAAGAAUGCAUUAUAUCAUGAAAGUAAAGAAAGGAUAAUGACCCAAAAAAGAGCUUGGGGCAAGAUGGCCGACUAGACACAGCAAGUGGAAUUACCGCCAGCAAGGGACUGAGACAACUGGCGCACUCCUAACAAAUCAUCCGAUGGAAGGCACCAGGAGUGGCCGAGGGAAGACACAGAAGGAAGCUGGGCUGAAACAGGAGGAACAUUGCACUGGGCUACCAUGCGCUGGGACUUGUUCCUGGCCCCCAAGGACUCUCAGGGAAUGGGUUUAAGGUGUACAUCUUCAGGUUCAACACAUGGACAAAUUUUGUGUUACUGAGGUUUGGCGUAUGAAUGAUCCCAUCACCCAGCUAGAAUUCAAGCCUUAGAUAUUUUGAGUUUUUAAAGAUCUAACGGUGGGAACCUAAGUCACACAACUACAAAAUUUAAAUACAAUGGGAAUAAUUGGAUGCUGAGGUGGUAGGCACCAAGUGACAGCACUCAACUAUCAACCUCAAGGUCAUCCUACAUUGGCCAAAGGAAUAAAGAAGAAUGACAGGGUUAAUGAUGGAUAUUUGAAUUAUUCUGAUUUUUCUGACGUGCAAGGUGUAGAUUCCUUUUGUUAGUCAUUCAAACCAACAGCAGCUUUAAGUAUGUAAUUUGUGAUAUCUAAUUAAUCAGUCAUUCAUAUCCAAGGUUAUAAAAACUCAUACUGUACAAUAGAGACUUGUAUCAUGUAUAAAAUAAGAAUGUAAUGUUCUUUUAGCACCACCCAAUUGGUGGGUCUGGAAAUAAUGACUUCUCUGACGAGUCCAAAUUAAAUUGGAACAAAGGUAAAAGUUCUCUCCAGGAGGCCAGACAAUGAAGAACAGGCAGUUUCUUACACAUCUCUACUUUAAUUAUAGCAAAUGGCCCAUCUGCUUCAAAACCAGAAGUAGGCAAUGACUUCUCACUCCUCUGCUUGAAUUUCUCGCCCUCCGCCUAUCUUCGUGAUACUAUAACACUGUCUAGGUAUUAUCGCAUUUAUAAUGAUGUAUUAUAAUUUAUUUGAUUAUUUAUUUAUUUAUUUAUUACCUCAAUUUGAUGAAUUAUUUAAGGGAAUAAAAUACACUCUACACUUGU
This 1358-nucleotide long non-coding RNA is filed under the name Homo sapiens (human). RNAcentral's name for it is "long intergenic non-protein coding RNA 1687". Lineage: Eukaryota; Metazoa; Chordata; Mammalia; Primates; Hominidae. The record is from RNAcentral.